RNAcentral lists this ribosomal RNA (506 nucleotides) under uncultured bacterium. RNAcentral's name for it is "partial 16S ribosomal RNA". It matches the Rfam family "Bacterial small subunit ribosomal RNA", at positions 29 to 523 of the family's 1533-position model. The record is from RNAcentral.
AGUGAACGCUGGCGGUAGGCCUAACACAUGCAAGUCGAACGGCAGCACAGGAGAGCUUGCUCUCUGGGUGGCGAGUGGCGGACGGGUGAGGAAUACAUCGGAAUCUACUCUGUCGUGGGGGAUAACGUAGGGAAACUUACGCUAAUACCGCAUACGACCUACGGGUGAAAGCAGGGGACCUUCGGGCCUUGCGCGAUUGAAUGAGCCGAUGUCGGAUUAGCUAGUUGGCGGGGUAAAGGCCCACCAAGGCGACGAUCCGUAGCUGGUCUGAGAGGAUGAUCAGCCACACUGGAACUGAGACACGGUCCAGACUCCUACGGGAGGCAGCAGUGGGGAAUAUUGGACAAUGGGCGCAAGCCUGAUCCAGCCAUUCCGCGUGCAGGAUGAAGGCCCUCGGGUUGUAAACUGCUUUUGUACGGAACGAAACGGUCUGCUCUAAUACAGCGGGCUAAUGACGGUACCGUAAGAAUAAGCACCGGCUAACUACGUGCCAGCCGCCGCGGUAA